CUUUGGAUUUUUAACAUUGUUGAGACUGCUAUAGACUAUAGGGUCUAUGGAAUUUGGACUAAAUAUAUUUUUUAUUAUGCUAUGUGUAGUUAUGGCCCUCAAAGACUCCUUUGAACAAGCCUAUGGGACGAGGGAGUGGAAUAAGAGGGUUUGUAUAAGCUUGGGCCAGGGAGUGGCACUAUUAGGAAGUGUAGCCUUGGUUGGAGUAGGUGUGUCAUGGGCUUUGAGACCCUCAUCCUAGCUGCCUGGAAGCCAGUCUUCUCCUGUUUGCCUUCAGAUGGAGAUGUAGAACUCUCAGCUCUUCCUGCACCAUGCCUGCCUGGAUGCUGCCAUGUUCUGGCCUUAAUGAUAAUGGACUGAACCUCUGAACCUAUAAGUCAGCCCCAACUAAAUGUUGUCCUUACAAGAAAAAAAAAAAGACAUGGAGGAUGUGGACCUGUUUAGAAGUAGUUCUUUGAGGAUAUUCCAAUCUUCCUAGUUAGGUUAUAUCAGCAGUCCAGUCCAAAACAUCAAACACAAAUCAGUAGCCUCAGUCCAUUCCAAUCGGCAAACACCAAACAUAAAUCAGUAGCAUGGCUCAAUCCAGAAAAAAAGUGUAA
RNAcentral lists this long non-coding RNA (599 nucleotides) under Rattus norvegicus (Norway rat). RNAcentral describes it as "long non-coding RNA NONRATT009473". The record is from RNAcentral. Lineage: Eukaryota; Metazoa; Chordata; Mammalia; Rodentia; Muridae.